GAUGAACGCUGGCGGCGUGCUUAAUACAUGCAAGUCGAGCGAACAGACGCGUACCUUGCUCCUCUGACGUUAGCGGCGGACGGAUCAGUAACACGUGGAUCACCUCCCUAUAAGACUGGCAUAACUUCGGGAAACCGAAGCUAAUACCGGCUACUAUCUUGAACCGCAUGGUUCAAUAGUGAUAGACGGUUUUGCUGUCACUUAUAGAUGUAUCCGCGACGCAUUAGUUAGUUGGUAAGGUAACGGCUUACCAAGGCGACGCUGCGCAGCCGACCUGGGAGGCUGAUCGGCGACACGAGAGCUGAGACGCGGUCCAGACUCCUACGAGAGGGAGCAGAAGGGAAUCGUCCGCAGUGGUCGAGAGCCUUACGGAGCAACGCCGAGUGAGUGAUGGAGGUCUUCGGAGCGGAAAAAUGUGUUAUGAGGGAAAAACAAAUGUGUAUGUAGCUGUGCACGUAGUGACGGUACCUAAUGAGGAAGCCACGGCUAACUACGUG
This 497-nucleotide ribosomal RNA is filed under the name uncultured bacterium. Its description in RNAcentral is "partial 16S ribosomal RNA". It matches the Rfam family "Bacterial small subunit ribosomal RNA", at positions 28 to 507 of the family's 1533-position model. The record is from RNAcentral.